RNAcentral lists this ribosomal RNA (253 nucleotides) under uncultured bacterium. RNAcentral's name for it is "partial 16S ribosomal RNA". It matches the Rfam family "Bacterial small subunit ribosomal RNA", at positions 524 to 776 of the family's 1533-position model. The record is from RNAcentral.
UACGUAGGGGGCUAGCGUUGUCCGGAAUCACUGGGCGUAAAGCGCACGUAGGCGGCUUUUUAAGUCAGGGGUGAAAUCCUGGAGCUCAACUCCAGAACUGCCUUUGAUACUGAGAAGCUUGAGUCCGGGAGAGGUGAGUGGAACUGCGAGUGUAGAGGUGAAAUUCGUAGAUAUUCGGAAGAACACCAGUGGCGAAGGCGGCUCACUGGUCCGGUACUGACGCUGAGGUGCGAAAGCGUGGGGAGCAAACAGG